CAGUGAAUGAUCAUAUACCCUCUGCUUGUUAACAUCAACGACAAAGAAUCAAGAGUGUAACCAAAGGUGGGCCUGGGCCUGGAUCUCUCCUGAACUUGAUGGGAAAAGGAUCCGUGUAUCCAAGCUUCACUUUCUCCCUACCAUGCAACAAAAACCCAAGUCCCUUCUCAUUUUGCUGUGCCAAUCUGUGUGGGAACUGCUGAGUCA
Lagopus leucura (white-tailed ptarmigan) is the source of this 207-nucleotide long non-coding RNA. RefSeq lists it as uncharacterized. The record is from RefSeq and is a predicted model, not a curated record. The transcript has 3 exons. NCBI's taxonomy places the organism in Eukaryota, Metazoa, Chordata, Aves, Galliformes, Phasianidae.